This 254-nucleotide ribosomal RNA is filed under the name uncultured bacterium. RNAcentral describes it as "partial 16S ribosomal RNA". It matches the Rfam family "Bacterial small subunit ribosomal RNA", at positions 524 to 776 of the family's 1533-position model. The record is from RNAcentral.
GACGAACCGUGCGAACGUUAUUCGGAAUCACUGGGCUUAAAGCGCGUGUAGGUGGUUUGGCACGUCGAGAGCUGAAAUCCCCUGGCUCAACCAGGGAAGUGGCCUCGAUACGACCAGGCUGGAGGGAGGUAGGGGAAUCGGGAACUUCCGGUGGAGCGGUGAAAUGCGUUGAGAUCGGAAGGAACGCCCGUGGCGAAAGCGCGAUUCUGGACCUUUCCUGACACUGAGACGCGAAAGCUAGGGGAGCGAACGGG